RNAcentral lists this ribosomal RNA (460 nucleotides) under uncultured bacterium. RNAcentral's name for it is "partial 16S ribosomal RNA". It matches the Rfam family "Bacterial small subunit ribosomal RNA", at positions 338 to 795 of the family's 1533-position model. The record is from RNAcentral.
CCUACGGGGGGCAGCAGUGAGGAAUAUUGGUCAAUGGACGCAAGUCUGAACCAGCCAUGCCGCGUGCAGGAAGACGGCUCUAUGAGUUGUAAACUGCUUUUGUACGAGGGUAAACGCAGAUACGCGUAUCUGUCUGAAAGUAUCGUACGAAUAAGGAUCGGCUAACUCCGUGCCAGCAGCCGCGGUAAUACGGAGGAUUCAAGCGUUAUCCGGCUUUAUUGGGUUUAAAGGGUGGGUAGGCGGUCGGAUAAGUUAGUGUUUAAAUCCCGAGGCUCAACUUCGGAAUUGCCUCUGAUACUGGUAGGCUAGAGAGUAGUUGCGGUAGGCGGAAUGUAUGGUGUAGCGGUGAAAUGCUUAGAGAUCAUACAGAACACCGAUUGCGAAGGCAGCUUACCAAGCUACUUCUGACGUUGAGGCACGAAAGCGUGGGGAGCAAACAGGAUUAGAUACCCGUGUAGUC